This 460-nucleotide ribosomal RNA is filed under the name uncultured bacterium. Its description in RNAcentral is "partial 16S ribosomal RNA". It matches the Rfam family "Bacterial small subunit ribosomal RNA", at positions 338 to 795 of the family's 1533-position model. The record is from RNAcentral.
CCUACGGGAGGCAGCAGUGAGGAAUAUUGGUCAAUGGACGAGAGUCUGAACCAGCCAAGUAGCGUGAAGGAUGACUGCCCUAUGGGUUGUAAACUUCUUUUAUAUGGGAAUAAAACGUUCCACGUGUGGGAUUUUGUAUGUACCAUAUGAAUAAGGAUCGGCUAACUCCGUGCCAGCAGCCGCGGUAAUACGGAGGAUCCGAGCGUUAUCCGGAUUUAUUGGGUUUAAAGGGAGCGUCGGUGGAUUGUUAAGUCAGUUGUGAAAGUUUGCGGCUCAACCGUAAAAUUGCAGUUGAAACUGGCAGUCUUGAGUACAGGAGAGGUGAGCGGAAUUCGUGGUGUAGCGGUGAAAUGCUUAGAUAUCACGAAGAACUCCGAUUGCGAAGGCAGUUCACUGGACUGCAACUGACACUGAGGCUCGAAAGUGUGGGUAUCAAACAGGAUUAGAUACCCGGGUAGUC